GGUGUUGGGUUCAGUCCCGCAACGAGCGCAACCCUCGCCCUUUGUUGCCAUCGGGUAAAGCCGGGCACUCUAAGGGGACUGCCAGCGACAAGUUGGAGGAAGGAGAGGAUGACGUCAAGUCAUCAUGGCCUUUAUGCCUAGGGCCACACACGUGCAACAAUGGCCGGUACAGACGGAGGCAAUGCCGAGAGGCGGAGCAAACCCGAGAAAACCGGUCCCAGUUCGGAUUGAGGUCUGCAACUUCGACCUCAUGAAGUCGGAAUCGCUAGUAAUCGCAUAUCAGAACGAUGCGGUGAAUACGUUCCCGGGCCUUGUACACACCGCCCGUCACACCACGAAAGUUUGUUGUACCCGAAGUCGGUGCCUUAACCUCGCAAGAGGAGAGAGCCGCCCAAGGUAUGGCCGAUGAUUGGGGUGAAGUGUAACAAGGUAGCCGUAGGGGAACCUGCGGCUGGAUCACCUCCUUCUAGGAGAGAAGGGUCCUGGAUGAAGCGCUCCUAUUUAGUCUUGUGAAGG
Molecule: ribosomal RNA, 516 nt
Filed under: uncultured bacterium
Lineage: Bacteria
Description: bacterial SSU rRNA
Rfam family: Bacterial small subunit ribosomal RNA
Source: RNAcentral